ACUACAUAUUCCUACGCAUUAUAUAUGGGGGUUAACAGUAUCGAGUCUUCGUUUCAGGUUGCACCCGUCUCAGCGUCACGUUGAAGAUUCACGGCCUAGCUUAGCGUGUUAGCCACUAGCAAAGACACGCGGAAGUUAGCAACACACCGCCAGUGAUUGUGGAAAUGUGUAAAGCACAAAUGCUGGGAGCGUCGGUGACUGCUGCAGCCGAGGAAAUAUUUGUAGUGUCAGAAACAACGAUAGCGGAAUACAAGGAGGAGGUUUGUCGAACAAAAGAGGAGAACGAGCGGCAACGUCGGACUGCUGCUGGACGGACGCCUCGAGUUGUGCACCACAGAGCAGACGUCACUGAAGAACAUCUUCCCUCUGAGCCGCAGGGGUGAAGCAGGAGGAGCCGCAGCCGCCCCACAUUAAAGAUGAAGAGGGGGAGCCACAGCCCACCCCUCCCAUAUUAAAGGGCAUUCCGAGUGUUUGUGGUCAGCGCGAGUCCUCAUAUCACCGUCACAGUUUGCAUCACAGCUCAAAGCUUCUCGGGUAUCGUCCCCGUCUUCACCCUCAGGGGGGUGUGACAACGUGUGCUCUGCUUGUGGUUCGUCUUCACGCUCUUCAGGCUUCACAGAGACGACAGUCAGUGGCAACUUGGCGAGAUCAACCUCCUCAGUGAUCCAGAGUUCCUCCUCUUCGUCUUUCACGUAGGGGGGCUGUGGAUCCUUCUGCUUCAAAGCGGAGAUCCCCUCCCGCGGCCGAGGGGCACGUCGAUCCUGAUGACCAAUUAGCUGGUGGCCGUCUGCAGGACACAACACAACACAGACACAGGUUUUUAUUUUUACUUUCACUGAUUGUUGAUGCAUUGGUGAACAAAAGAGAGAUUAUUAUUCUAUUUUGAUCUUCUGGAAGUAGGCCAUCAUUUUUAUCAUCUGAUGUUUUCUCUAUUAUACAAUAAUAAAUGAACUUUGAGAUCUUUCAGCUAAAAAAUAAAGCUAUUUACAUAUAUUUAUAGACAAAGCUUUGUGUAAUUAAUUAUUAAUAUCAACAUGGCGGCUGUUUUCUUCACGCUGUCUUUUUACCUUAUU
Dunckerocampus dactyliophorus (ringed pipefish) is the source of this 1073-nucleotide long non-coding RNA. RefSeq lists it as uncharacterized. NCBI's taxonomy places the organism in Eukaryota, Metazoa, Chordata, Actinopteri, Syngnathiformes, Syngnathidae. The transcript has 3 exons. The record is from RefSeq and is a predicted model, not a curated record.